UGGGUUUCUUUUUAUAGUUCUUCUAACGAC
This 30-nucleotide non-coding RNA is filed under the name Rattus norvegicus (Norway rat). Lineage: Eukaryota; Metazoa; Chordata; Mammalia; Rodentia; Muridae. The record is from RNAcentral.